This 465-nucleotide ribosomal RNA is filed under the name Vreelandella stevensii. RNAcentral's name for it is "partial 16S ribosomal RNA". It matches the Rfam family "Bacterial small subunit ribosomal RNA", at positions 338 to 795 of the family's 1533-position model. The record is from RNAcentral. Lineage: Bacteria; Pseudomonadati; Pseudomonadota; Gammaproteobacteria; Oceanospirillales; Halomonadaceae.
CCUACGGGCGGCUGCAGUGGGGAAUAUUGGACGAUGGGCGAAAGCCUGAUCCAGCCAUGCCGCGUGUGUGAAGAAGGCCUUCGGGUUGUAAAGCACUUUCAGUGGGGAAGAAAGCCUUGGGGCUAAUACCCUCGAGGAAGGACAUCACCCACAGAAGAAGCACCGGCUAACUCCGUGCCAGCAGCCGCGGUAAUACGGAGGGUGCGAGCGUUAAUCGGGAUUACUGGGCGUAAAGCGCGCGUAGGCGGUCUGAUAAGCCGGUUGUGAAAGCCCCGGGCUCAACCUGGGAACGGCAUCCGGAACUGUCAGGCUAGAGUGCAGGAGAGGAAGGUAGAAUUCCCGGUGUAGCGGUGAAAUGCGUAGAGAUCGGGAGGAAUACCAGUGGCGAAGGCGGCCUUCUGGACUGACACUGACGCUGAGGUGCGAAAGCGUGGGUAGCAAACAGGAUUAGAUACCCCGGUAGUC